CCUACGGGGGGCUGCAGUGGGGAAUUUUGGACAAUGGGCGCAAGCCUGAUCCAGCCAUGCCGCGUGCGGGAAGAAGGCCUUCGGGUUGUAAACCGCUUUUGUCAGGGAAGAAAAGGUUCGAGCUAAUACCUCGGACUAAUGACGGUACCUGAAGAAUAAGCACCGGCUAACUACGUGCCAGCAGCCGCGGUAAUACGUAGGGUGCAAGCGUUAAGUGGAAUUACUGGGCGUAGAGCGUGCGGACAGGGUUGAAAUCCCCGGGCUCAACCUUGGAACUGCAUUUGUGACUGCAUGACUUGAGUACGGUAGAGGGGGAUGGAAUUCCGCGUGUAGCAGUGAAAUGCGUAGAUAUGCGGAGGAACACCGAUGGCGAAGGCAAUCCCCUGGACCUGUACUGACGCUCAGGCACGAAAGCGGGGGGAGCAAACAGGAUUAGAUACCCGAGUAGUC
This 450-nucleotide ribosomal RNA is filed under the name uncultured bacterium. RNAcentral's name for it is "partial 16S ribosomal RNA". It matches the Rfam family "Bacterial small subunit ribosomal RNA", at positions 338 to 795 of the family's 1533-position model. The record is from RNAcentral.